Long non-coding RNA from Anolis carolinensis (green anole), 3157 nucleotides. The record is from Ensembl. Lineage: Eukaryota; Metazoa; Chordata; Lepidosauria; Squamata; Anolidae.
AUGGCCCAACAAUUUAAUGAGAUGCUGCAGAAAGGAAGUAUCAGUGAAUGGCUAACAACUGGAAGUACAUACCUGAUACAAAAGGAUCCCGCAAAAGGAUCACCACCAGGAAACUACAGGCCAAUAACGUGUCUGCCCACUAUGUUUAAACUACUGACUGGCAUCAUGGCUGAUAGAAUUCAAGACUAUCUUGAAGAAAAAAACAUCUUGCCAGAUGAACAGAAAGGCAACAAACGGAAAAGCAGGAGCACAAAAGACCAGUUGUUAUUUCCAUCUGUUCCAUUUUGUUCUGUGAGAAUUUUCCUUCAAACUCCUUUAUCCACCCAGUGUUUUUGUUGUAGUUUUUAUUAUUUUCCCAAAGUUCUUUCCAGAAUUUCGUUGUUGCAAUUUUCUCUGGCUUUAUGGUUACUGUGUUUGUUGUUUGGUUCAGGCUCUGUUAGAAACGUCUUUGGUCUGAUUGAAACAGUUGGUUUUGUCUGUACUGGAUGAUUCUGGCUUCAUACCUUUCAAUUUUUCUGGCUGUUGCUGUAAUUUGUUCUUUCACGAUUUCCAAAGCUUCUUCAAUUUUUCUGGUGUUCAGCCAGUACUUUCGGAUCAGGUAUUGCUUGAUUUUGUCAUUCUUCAGUUUCUUCUCUUUUAUAUUUUUCAGGUUACUUGCAUCUGAUCUAAGCUUUUUGAUUUUCAACUCUAGCCUGACCUUCCACUUUGUUUUUCCAGUCGAUUUUCUUUGGGGCUGCCUAGGUUGUAGGAGCCCAAGCUCUUCUGUUACUAUCACUGCUGCACUGUAGGCAUACUGGUUUGUUUGUUCAAUUGAUGUUAUUUGGACAGUGGAGAGUACUGUAUUCACAUCUUUCAUGAGAGGCGCCAGGUGUCUCUUGGGCACUGUUGUUAGAGUUGGGAGCCGUUUUCUUAUGGCAUUUGCUGCAGCAUGAGCCAUGAUCUUAUCCUUGAGCUCUUGUUGUCUUGCUGUCAAGCUUCCUGGUGGUUCAGCAGAUGUUUCAAGUGCUGGUUUUUCAAAUUCUUGCAAAAGCUCCACACUUCCUUCUGGUUCAAUCAGUUCCACCAUUCCAAGUGUUGCUGGAGUCUCUGCUGCUGUCUGUGCUGUUACUUUGCAAAUUUUCUGGAUUUCUUCGAGUUCAACUUCACUGAACACUUUGUUUCUGAUUAUGAAUCUUCGUUGGUCAGCCAGUCGGGGUUCUGUUAUCUGUGAGUCAGGGUACUUUUGUUUCCAUAGCUGAUGCAUCCUUUUUUGGUAGCCACGCCUUUGAGGUUCAGAUUUGUAGUAGCAUUUCAUAAUUGUGAGGUUUUUUGGCAUUGUAUAUUUCUGCCACUUCUGUGACUGUUCAUUUGGGUUUUGAUGAUUCCGUAGCCCACUUGUCGAUGGAUGUCCAGAAUCAGCAGCAUCCACCACGGUCCUUUUUAUCCUGGGCGACGACCGAGCCAGUAUAGACUUCAUUUGGGUUUGAUUCUCCAUAAUGUUAAUGGGUUAGGUGCUCUUAGUUCUGCUCCUCAGCUGAGGCCUCUCUGGCUUGGUUGGACCUGCCGGUAGUUACACUACCGCCAGCACAGCCCUCAGUCAUCAUUGGAGCAGUUAAGCCCCCCCCCACCACGUCAAGGUGGCACCUGCGGGGGGGGGGGGAAUUAUUAUUAUUAUUAUUAUUAUUAUUAUUAUUAUUAUUAUUAUUAAGGUCAGGUUCCGUGUAUAAUGAGCCCCUGGUGGCGCAGUGGAUUAAACCUCUGAGCUGCUGAACUUGCUGACCGAAUGGUCAGCGGUUCGAAUCUGGGGAGUGGGGUGAGCUCCUGCUGUUAGCCCCAGCUCCUGCCAACCUAGCAGUUCGAAAACAUCCAAAUGUGAGUAGAUCAAUAGGUACUGCUCCGGCGGGAAGGCAAUGGCGCUCCAUGCAGUCAUGCUGACCACAUGACCUUGGAGGUAUUUACGGACAACGCCAACUCUUCGGCUUAGAAAUGGUGAUGAGCACCAACCCCAGAGUCGGACACGACUAGACUUAAUGUCAGGGGAAAACCUUUACCUUUUCCUCCGUGUAUAAUAUAACCACCUUCCUGGCCUCAAACCAGUUCUAGAACUGUAACUGUAAUCACCUGGACAGCAAAACCCAUUCCUCCCAAACCAGUUCUAAGCUGCAUUAUAAUGUGACUGCAGAUGUGCACUUCUUCUCUCUUCCUCUCUCUCUCUCUCUCUUAAAUAUUGGAAAAAUUAUAUAUAUUUAACAGCAUUUAUAAGACAAGCCUUACUUUUCUGGACCAAAGCGACUUAAUCAAUCCAACAAUGCAGAAAAUUCUUUGUGCCUGUUAGAGCUCAGGUGCUUACAUUAUGGUAACAAUGGACAAAAACAAGGCUCCUUUUUAUACUUGGCACUUAAAGCAUCUUUAAAUCUCUCAGUCUACUCAUGUUAACAUCUGAUCAUUGUCAGUAUGAAACAGGAAACAGGGAGCGCUUUUGUAAUGCAAAUGAACAUUCUGACCAAAGGAGAUUUUACAUUUACAUGACAAACAAAUUGAAGGAAGUGCUGCUCUGAACCUCAAGUGAAAGCAUAGCUACUCAAAGCUAUACUACAUGUGAAGUUUGUCUCCUGGUGUGAUCUUGUGUAACUGCUUUUUCUUUAACAAAUAGCAUAUUAUGGUGUGUGUGUAUGUGUGUGCAUAGUAGAGAGAAGCGGGUGGUUUGAGCCACAUUGGAAUUGUGCUGUAGCAUUUGUGCCUUCCAACCUCCUUAUUAGGAUCCUUUUCUCUGUGUCUACUUUUCUAAUGGGGGGAAUGUGCUAACUGUCCCCAGGAGGGAGACAAGUACUUCCAUGUUACGGCAGCUCCACUGGAUGCCGGUAUGCUUCUGGGUUAAAUACAAAGUGCUGGUUAUUACCUUUAAAGCCCUAGCCGGUUCGGGCCCAGACUAUUUGGCAAACCGCAUCUCCAUGUACAAAUCUGCUUGGGGACUACGAUCAGCAGAGGAGACACUGUUCUCAGUCCCACUCCCGUCUCAAGCAUGGCUGGUAGAAACGAGAGAGAGAGGGGGGGGGAGAGAGAGAGAGAGAGAGAGAGAGGGGGGCCUUCUCCGUGAUCACCCCCUGUCUCUGGAACUCUCUCCCCAAAGAGAUGAAAAUGACCCCCUCCUUACUCUCUUCUAAAAAACAAUUCAAAA